RNAcentral lists this non-coding RNA (228 nucleotides) under Oceanobacillus iheyensis. RNAcentral's name for it is "T-box sequence". It matches the Rfam family "T-box leader". From Rfam's summary of the family: Uncharged tRNA acts as the effector for transcription antitermination of genes in the T-box leader family. T-boxes are found upstream of many aminoacyl-tRNA synthetase genes and some amino acid biosynthetic genes usually in Gram-positive bacteria. The anticodon of a specific tRNA base pairs to a specifier sequence within the T-box motif, and the NCCA acceptor tail of the tRNA base pairs to a conserved bulge in the T-box antiterminator hairpin. The record is from RNAcentral. Lineage: Bacteria; Bacillati; Bacillota; Bacilli; Caryophanales; Bacillaceae.
GAUAAAACGUAGAAGAGGGAAAGUAAGACUAAUAUGUUUACACAGAGAGAACUACAUUUGCUGAAAGUAGUUUUGGACAAUUAAUCUGAAGUGCUCCUCAGAGUCUGUGAUGGAAAUAUAUAGUACAUCAUAGCGGGAACUCUGCCGUUAUAAGAGUCAAAGUUGAGAGAAGCAAAUGCUAAUGAGUUUCUCUAAACAGAGUGGAACCGCGCGAGAGGCGUCUCUGUG